UAGAGUUUGAUCAUGGCUCAGAUUGAACGCUGGCGGCAGGCUUAACACAUGCAAGUCGAGCGGGGGAAGUUGCUUCGGUAACUGACCUAGCGGCGGACGGGUGAGUAAUGCUUAGGAAUCUGCCCAUUAGUGGGGGACAACAUCUCGAAAGGGAUGCUAAUACCGCAUACGUCCUACGGGAGGCAGCA
This 188-nucleotide ribosomal RNA is filed under the name uncultured bacterium. RNAcentral's name for it is "partial 16S ribosomal RNA". It matches the Rfam family "Bacterial small subunit ribosomal RNA", at positions 1 to 193 of the family's 1533-position model. The record is from RNAcentral.